GUUGGGCUAUUCCGUCGUGUCCAGGCCAACAUCGGUUCUGGGGGUCGGUUAAAGGCUCGGGGAAUGUAUCUACCCUCCGGGCGUAGACUUAUAGCCCCGAGUGUCAUGCGGCCUCCCGGGACCGAGGAACGCGCUUCGGCUCGGAUGUUGGCGUAAUGGUUGUCAGCGA
Molecule: ribosomal RNA, 169 nt
Filed under: Rhinocladiella sp.
Lineage: Eukaryota; Fungi; Ascomycota; Eurotiomycetes; Chaetothyriales; Herpotrichiellaceae
Description: partial large subunit ribosomal RNA
Source: RNAcentral